This 507-nucleotide ribosomal RNA is filed under the name uncultured bacterium. Its description in RNAcentral is "partial 16S ribosomal RNA". It matches the Rfam family "Bacterial small subunit ribosomal RNA", at positions 35 to 539 of the family's 1533-position model. The record is from RNAcentral.
GACGAACGCUGGCGGCGUGCUUAACACAUGCAAGUCGAACGGAAAGGCCCUGCUUUUGUGGGGUGCUCGAGUGGCGAACGGGUGAGUAACACGUGAGUAACCUGCCCUUGACUUUGGGAUAACUUCAGGAAACUGGGGCUAAUACCGGAUAGGAGCUCCUGCUGCAUGGUGGGGGUUGGAAAGUUUCGGCGGUUGGGGAUGGACUCGCGGCUUAUCAGCUUGUUGGUGGGGUAGUGGCUUACCAAGGCUUUGACGGGUAGCCGGCCUGAGAGGGUGACCGGCAACAUGGGGACGGUACGACAGACAAGACUCAGAGGGGGGGUGGCAGGGGGUAAGGGUGCCGAAUGGGCGGAAUCCUGCUGCAGCGACGCGGGGGGGGGGUUGGCCGUCGUGGUGUGGUAUACCGAUGUCCGCGUGGACGAAGCGUGAGUGACUGGAAGGGGCAAAGAAGCACCGGCUACCUACGGGCCGGCGGCCGCGGUAAUAGGGGCGAGCACCCGUUUCAAC